This 460-nucleotide ribosomal RNA is filed under the name uncultured bacterium. Its description in RNAcentral is "partial 16S ribosomal RNA". It matches the Rfam family "Bacterial small subunit ribosomal RNA", at positions 338 to 795 of the family's 1533-position model. The record is from RNAcentral.
CCUACGGGUGGCAGCAGUGAGGAAUAUUGGUCAAUGGGCGGAAGCCUGAACCAGCCAAGUAGCGUGCAGGAUGACGGCACUACGUGUUGUAAACUGCUUUUAUACGGGAAUAACGCGCCUUACGUGUAGGGCUUUGCAUGUACCUUAUGAAUAAGGACCGGCUAAUUCCGUGCCAUCAGCCGCGGUAAUACGGAAGGUCCGGGCGUUAUCCGGAUUUAUUGGGUUUAAAGGGAGCGUAGGCCGCAUGUCAAGCGUGCUGUGAAAUGUCCGGGCUCAACCCGGGCCUUGCAGCGCGAACUGGCGGGCUGGAGGUGGCGGAAAGCAGGCGGAAUGCGUCGUGUAGCGGUGAAAUGCUUAGAUAUGGCGAAGAACCCCGAUUGCGAAGGCAGCUUGCUGCAGCGGAACUGACGCUGAUGCACGAAAGCGCGGGUAUCGAACAGGAUUAGAUACCCGGGUAGUC